GGGCCCGUAGCUCAGCUUGGUAGAGCAACUGGCUCUUAACCAGUAGGUCGCGGGUUCGAAAUUGUUUUUUAUUAAAACAACAAAAAUCCCGUCGGGCCCA
RNAcentral lists this transfer RNA (100 nucleotides) under archaeon. RNAcentral describes it as "tRNA-Lys". It matches the Rfam family "tRNA". Rfam says of the family: Transfer RNA (tRNA) molecules are approximately 80 nucleotides in length. Their secondary structure includes four short double-helical elements and three loops (D, anti-codon, and T loops). Further hydrogen bonds mediate the characteristic L-shaped molecular structure. tRNAs have two regions of fundamental functional importance: the anti-codon, which is responsible for specific mRNA codon recognition, and the 3' end, to which the tRNAs corresponding amino acid is attached (by aminoacyl-tRNA synthetases). tRNAs cope with the degeneracy of the genetic code in two manners: having more than one tRNA (with a specific anti-codon) for a particular amino acid; and 'wobble' base-pairing, i.e. permitting non-standard base-pairing at the 3rd anti-codon position. The record is from RNAcentral.